Molecule: ribosomal RNA, 253 nt
Filed under: uncultured bacterium
Lineage: Bacteria
Description: partial 16S ribosomal RNA
Rfam family: Bacterial small subunit ribosomal RNA
Source: RNAcentral
UACAGAGGGUGCGAACGUUGUUCGGAAUUACUGGGCGUAAAGCGCGUGUAGGCUGUUCGGAAAGUCGGGUGUGAAAGCCCUGGGCUCAACCUAGGAAGUGCACUCGAAACUCCCGAACUGGAGUCCUGGAGAGGAAGGCGGAAUUCUCGGUGUAGAGGUGAAAUUCGUAGAUAUCGAGAGGAACACCGGUGGCGAAGGCGGCCUUCUGGACAGUGACUGACGCUGAGACGCGAAAGCGUGGGGAGCAAACAGG